This 342-nucleotide ribosomal RNA is filed under the name Triticum aestivum (bread wheat). Its description in RNAcentral is "partial small subunit ribosomal RNA". The record is from RNAcentral. Lineage: Eukaryota; Viridiplantae; Streptophyta; Magnoliopsida; Poales; Poaceae.
AUGGCAUCGAUGAAGUUCGAUCUUCCGAUGCCGGACUACGACAUGAGCUUUUCCUUGAGGCAGGUAAAGACGCGGGCUAUCCUGGCGCAUCCCUAUCUGGAUGAGGCGCUAGAUGGUUUCGGUGGAAAAGAACCGAAGGCGUGGACUGAGGAUGAGAAGCGCAAAGAUUGUAAGGCUAUGUUUCUGAUUCAUCUUCAUCUAUCUAACAAUAUUUUGCACGAAGAGCUAGAGGAGAAAUUUGCAGCAGCUCUCUGGCUGAAACUGGAGUCGAUCUGCAUGUCCAUGGAUCUGACCAGUAAGAUGCACAUGAAGAUGAAGUUGUUCAUGCACAAGUUGCAAUAA